RNAcentral lists this ribosomal RNA (565 nucleotides) under uncultured bacterium. RNAcentral describes it as "bacterial SSU rRNA". It matches the Rfam family "Bacterial small subunit ribosomal RNA", at positions 10 to 530 of the family's 1533-position model. The record is from RNAcentral.
AGUUUGAUCCUGGCUCAGAGUCAACGCUGNUUAGUANGCCUAACACAUGCAAGUCGAACGGCAGCACUGGGAGAGCUUGCUCUCUGGGUGGCGAGUGGCGGACGGGUGAGUGAAUACAUCGGAAUCUACUUUUUCGUGGGGGAUAACGUAGUGGAAACUUACUGCUAAUACCUGCAUACUGACCUACGGGUGAAAGCAGGGGAUCUUCUGGACCUUGCUGCUGAUUGAAUGAGCCUGAUGUCGGAUUAGCUAGUUGGCUGGGGUAAAUGGCCCACCAAGGCUGGCUGAUCCUGUAGCUGGUCUUGAGAGUGAUGAUCAUGCCACACUGGAACUGAGACACUGGUCCAUGACUCCUACGGGAGGCAGCAGUGGGGAAUAUUUGGACAAUGGGCUGCAAGCCUGAUCCAGCCAUACCUGCGUGGGUGAAGAAGGCCUUCGGCGUUGUAACAUGCCCUUUUUGUUUGGGAAACGAAAUCCAGCUGGCUAAUACCCGGUUUGGGAUGACGGUACCCAAAUGAAUAAGCACCNGGCUAACUUCGUGCCAGCAGCCGCNGGUAAUACGAAG